UGGGGAAUAUUGCACAAUGGGCGAAAGCCUGAUGCAGCGACGCCGCGUGAGGGAUGACGGCCUUCGGGUUGUAAACCUCUUUCAGCAGGGACGAAGCGCAAGUGACGGUACCUGCAGAAGAAGCACCGGCUAACUACGUGCCAGCAGCCGCGGUAAUACGUAGGGUGCAAGCGUUGUCCGGAAUUACUGGGCAUAAAGAGUUCGUAGGCGGUUUGUCGCGUCGUUUGUGAAAACCAGCAGCUCAACUGCUGGCUUGCAGGCGAUACGGGCAGACUUGAGUACUGCAGGGGAGACUGGAAUGCCUGGUGUAGCGGUGAAAUGCGCAGAUAUCAGGAGGAACACCGGUGGCGAAGGCGGGUCUCUGGGCAGUAACUGACGCUGAGGAACGAAAGCGUGGGUAGCGAACAGG
Molecule: ribosomal RNA, 409 nt
Filed under: bacterium
Lineage: Bacteria
Description: partial 16S ribosomal RNA
Rfam family: Bacterial small subunit ribosomal RNA
Source: RNAcentral